AAUCAACGCUGGCGGCGUGCCUCAGACAUGCAAGUCGAACGAUUAAAGCUCCCUUCGGGGAGUGCAUAAAGUGGCGCACGGGUGAGUAACACGUAAGUAAUCUACCUUCGAGUGGGGAAUAACGUCCGGAAACGGACGCUAAUACCGCAUAAUGCAGCGGCAUCGCAAGAUGACAGUUGUUAAAGAUUUAUCGCUUGAAGAGGAGCUUGCGGCAGAUUAGCUUGUUGGUAAGGUAACGGCUUACCAAGGCUACGAUCUGUAACCGGUCUAAGAGGACGGUCGGUCACACUGACACUGAAUAACGGGUCAGACUCCUACGGGAGGCAGCAGUCGGGAAUUUUGGGCAAUGGGGGAAACCCUGACCCAGCAACGCCGCGUGAAGGAUGAAGUAUUUCGGUAUGUAAACUUCGAAAGAAUAGGAAGAAUUAAUGACGGUACUAUUUAUAAGGUCCGGCUAACUACGUGC
This 466-nucleotide ribosomal RNA is filed under the name uncultured bacterium. RNAcentral's name for it is "bacterial SSU rRNA". It matches the Rfam family "Bacterial small subunit ribosomal RNA", at positions 32 to 508 of the family's 1533-position model. The record is from RNAcentral.